AUUGAACGCUGGCGGCAUGCCUUACACUGCAAGUCGAACGGCAGCACGGGUGCUUGCACCUGGUGGCGAGUGGCGAACGGGUGAGUAAUACAUCGGAACAUGUCCUGUAGUGGGGGAUAGCCCGGCGAAAGCCGGAUUAAUACCGCAUACGAUCUACGGAUGAAAGCGGGGGACCUUCGGGCCUCGCGCUAUAGGGUUGGCCGAUGGCUGAUUAGCUAGUUGGUGGGGUAAAGGCCUACCAAGGCGACGAUCAGUAGCUGGUCUGAGAGGACGACCAGCCACACUGGGACUGAGACACGGCCCAGACUCCUACGGGAGGCAGCAGUGGGGAAUUUUGGACAAUGGGCGAAAGCCUGAUCCAGCAAUGCCGCGUGUGUGAAGAAGGCCUUCGGGUUGUAAAGCACUUUUGUCCGGAAAGAAAUCCUUGGCCCUAAUACGGUCGGGGGAUGACGGUACCGGAAGAAUAAGCACCGGCUAACUACGUG
RNAcentral lists this ribosomal RNA (485 nucleotides) under uncultured bacterium. RNAcentral describes it as "partial 16S ribosomal RNA". It matches the Rfam family "Bacterial small subunit ribosomal RNA", at positions 30 to 507 of the family's 1533-position model. The record is from RNAcentral.